This 250-nucleotide ribosomal RNA is filed under the name uncultured bacterium. RNAcentral's name for it is "partial 16S ribosomal RNA". It matches the Rfam family "Bacterial small subunit ribosomal RNA", at positions 524 to 773 of the family's 1533-position model. The record is from RNAcentral.
GACGAAGGGGGCUAGCGUUGUUCGGAAUUACUGGGCGUAAAGCGAGUGUAGGCGGUUGCCCAAGUCAGGUGUGAAAGCCUUGAGCUCAACUCAAGAAAUGCACUUGGUACUGGGUGGCUAGAGGACCGGAGAGGAUAGUGGAAUUCCCAGUGUAGUGGUGAAAUACGUAGAGAUUGGGAAGAACACCAGUGGCGAAGGCGGCUAUCUGGACGGUUACUGACGCUAAGACUCGAAAGCGUGGGGAGCAAAC